Cyanistes caeruleus (blue tit) is the source of this 1899-nucleotide non-coding RNA. NCBI's taxonomy places the organism in Eukaryota, Metazoa, Chordata, Aves, Passeriformes, Paridae. The record is from RefSeq and is a predicted model, not a curated record.
UGUGAGAAGAGUCAGGGGGCGGUGAGCCUUCCCUACCAGCCUGCCCCCUCUCAAACCACAUUCUGUAAAGUGGAGUGCAGGUGGCAGAAGUGCAUGUAACAGGUGAUGUCCCAUGUGAGGACACAGCCAGUCUGCCAGGAGAGUGGGGACUGACACAACAUCACUUAUACAUCAGCUGUAUAAAAAUACGGUGAGUGAGAAGAGCUGCCAGAAUGGCACAAAGAGCCAACCAAAAAUCCAGAUUCGCCUUUUUAAAUACCCCUUAUAAAUAGAAAAUGGUACUGAAGAAAUGAGAGGAUAUCUUUCAUUGGAAGAAAACCUCAUCGUCAAGGUAUGGAUUCUCCUUUUACCUAAACAGGGAGUAAAGUAUAUACAGCAGGCAUUUUUAGCCUUGCUAGCGUGGUCUAGGAACCACAGACUGAAUGUUACAAAGCCCUGGAAAAUAGUUUUGGAUUUUCUGGGGUGGUUGGAAGCCCAGUACAGUGAAAGGAUGGCAAUAGAAAUGCUGUGUGAACAUCCACCCACCAGUGUGCCUGCCAAAGACACGGAGCGAAGCAGAGCAGCAAGUGAAAAACUGAGGGGGAAGUGGCUGUUAUUCAACGGAGCUCCCAUGCCAGCACUGACAGUGACUGCAUGACACACAAGUUUGUCCAUGCUGCGGCCACCUGAGCUACCGCCACCGGGUGCAUCCUCAGAAUUCCUGGGGCCCCCCAUGCCCCAGCUACAGAGAUCAUCUUUAGGCUCCGUGCCCCACAAUGUGCCACGGAGACAGCCUGCUGAAAAAAACCCAAAAUCACAGAUGCCACUUGGAGCCAGAGUCAAUUGCCCAAGAUGGCAGAGCACACACGGCACCUGAGUCACUCGCCCAAGAUGACAGAGCGCAGGAGGCAGCUUGGGAGGGGAGAGACACCAUGCCAGCCAAGUAGAGGAAGCGACCAGAGUCACUCCCGUCGUGGCACCUGGGACUCUAUCCAGUUCGCACACCAAAUCCCAGAAACAUCAUAGUGCAAAAAAGCAGUCGAGAAGCUGGCAGCCCCCCUGCAAGAGCCAUCCCAGCACCACGCUCACCUGCGCCAUGUGUGGAACUGCUGGCGCCCGGGGCUGCAGGCUGCCGCAUACUGCCACAUCUGCAGUUGGGACUCAAGAAACCUGGAAAAACUGAUGCAAUCAGUGCCGCAGUCAGUGCCUGAACAGGGACUGAGAGACCCAGCCAGUGUGAGCAACACUCGGGACCACGGGACAUCACAUCAUGCCAGUUGUGAACAGCCCUGGACUCCAGCAGAGCAAAGCGGUACCGCCCACCGCCACCAACAAACUGUGUUGCAUGGCAACCACAGGCAGCAAUGAUAUCGACCCUUUCUACGUCUCCAGCCAACAACUUUAACCUGUGACAUGCUAGCCUGAAGGAUUGUGAUAUUUGGUGGUUUUGCUCCCAGACCUAAAUGUUGCAGCUCCAGUGAUACAUGGAGCAUACCCCUGGCUGGAGGAGUUAGGUUUGUCAAAGAAACUCCCCCGCCCCUCUCUGUACCGCUGGAUUCUCAGAGGCACCUACCACUACUUUUACUGCUCCCUUUUCUGCAAGAGCAAGAAGAGCUGCUGGAACACGCUGCACAGCAGCUGAAAUAGGAAACAUCCCGGGAUACAGCAUCCUUCAGCUCACCCAACAAAAAAUCUGCUCAAAUUCAAAGGGCUGGCAGUGAACAAGAUAUUACAAAAACAUAUUUCCUGUGCAUGAGCACAGCAAACAGCAUAGUACAAAACUCAUGAUACAUCACCGUAUGGCUUCUGCCAUAUUAUUUUUGCUAAUAAUGUAAAACAACAUGCACUAUGGUAGCUGCAACAAUCACAAUGCCACUACAGCCUGUUUGUGUCAGGAUUAAAGUGGCUUCUUAUUAAUUA